RNAcentral lists this ribosomal RNA (405 nucleotides) under Lachnospiraceae bacterium. Its description in RNAcentral is "bacterial SSU rRNA". It matches the Rfam family "Bacterial small subunit ribosomal RNA", at positions 355 to 776 of the family's 1533-position model. The record is from RNAcentral. Lineage: Bacteria; Bacillati; Bacillota; Clostridia; Lachnospirales; Lachnospiraceae.
UAGGGAAUAUUGCACAAUGGGGGAAACCCUGAUGCAGCGACGCCGCGUGAAGGAAGAAGUAUCUCGGUAUGUAAACUUCUAUCAGCAGGGAAGAAGAAUGACGGUACCUGACUAAGAAGCCCCGGCUAACUACGUGCCAGCAGCCGCGGUAAUACGUAGGGGGCAAGCGUUAUCCGGAUUUACUGGGUGUAAAGGGAGCGUAGACGGCAUGGCAAGCCAGAUGUGAAAGCCCGGGGCUCAACCCCGGGACUGCAUUUGGAACUGCUGAGCUAGAGUAUCGGAGAGGCAAGCGGAAUUCCUAGUGUAGCGGUGAAAUGCGUAGAUAUCGGGAGGAACACCAGUGGCGAAGGCGGCCUGCUGGACAUUAACUGACGCUGAGGAGCGAAAGCGUGGGGAGCAAACAGG